This 253-nucleotide ribosomal RNA is filed under the name uncultured bacterium. RNAcentral's name for it is "partial 16S ribosomal RNA". It matches the Rfam family "Bacterial small subunit ribosomal RNA", at positions 524 to 776 of the family's 1533-position model. The record is from RNAcentral.
UACAUGGGGUGCAAACGUUGCUCGGAAUUAUUGGGCGUAAAGCGCGCGUAGGCGGUUACUCAAGUCGGAUGUGAAAGCCCUCGGCUUAACUGAGGAAGUGCACCCGAAACUGAGUAGCUAGAGUACUAAAGAGGGUCGCGGAAUUCCCGGUGUAGAGGUGAAAUUCGUAGAUAUCGGGAGGAACACCGGUGGCGAAGGCGGCAUCCUGGACCAAUAUUGACGCUGAGGAGCGAAAGCUAGGGGAGCAAACGGG